GAUGAACGCUGGCGGCGUGCCUAAUACAUGCAAGUCGAGCGAACAGACGAGGAGCUUGCUCCUCUGACGUUAGCGGCGGACGGGUGAGUAACACGUGGAUAACCUACCUAUAAGACUGGGAUAACUUCGGGAAACCGGAGCUAAUACCGGAUAAUAUAUUGAACCGCAUGGUUCAAUAGUGAAAGACGGUUUUGCUGUCACUUAUAGAUGGAUCCGCGCCGCAUUAGCUAGUUGGUAAGGUAACGGCUUACCAAGGCAACGAUGCGUAGCCGACCUGAGAGGGUGAUCGGCCACACUGGAACUGAGACACGGUCCAGACUCCUACGGGAGGCAGCAGUAGGGAAUCUUCCGCAAUGGGCGAAAGCCUGACGGAGCAACGCCGCGUGAGUGAUGAGGGUCUUCGGAUCGUAAAACUCUGUUAUUAGGGAAGAACAAAUGUGUAAGUAACUAUGCACGUCUGGACGGUACCUAAUCAGAAAGCCACGGCGAACUACGU
This 496-nucleotide ribosomal RNA is filed under the name uncultured bacterium. Its description in RNAcentral is "partial 16S ribosomal RNA". It matches the Rfam family "Bacterial small subunit ribosomal RNA", at positions 28 to 506 of the family's 1533-position model. The record is from RNAcentral.